AAACGCUCGGUUCGGCAAUCCGACGAGCGUACGCGAGGUUAUUGACGAAACGGUCGGUUUUGGUACAGAUAGCCGCAGCACGCGGAAUAAAGGUUUAAAAAUUAUGAGAUCGGAACUGGAGCACCUUGGAGUCAAGGAAUAAACUCCGGAAAAGACGGAUCACGGUUUGGAGGUCGUUUGGAAGUCACGCAAGAGUUCGGGCCAAACCGGGCAACGGUUGCCGCCGGAGGCCGAUUGCAAGUGACUACGAGCAAUCGGAGCGCGAGUUAAGGUGGGUUGGUUUACCGAAGCGACUAGGUCGCCUUUAUGUCUAAGAAAUUAAGAAUCCAUGUUGAUGCAUAUAAAUGUAAAUGGCAAGGAGAUCGCUCAGUUAGGCAAUACGAGCGGGAGUUUUCCCGUAUCGUGCAUUGUGUCCCAAACUUGGUACGAGAUGACAAGGACAAGGCUGACUGCUUUGUGCGUGGACUGCGGCCAGGCCUUUACAAGGCUGUGCUUGUACACAGGUUGCAGACUUUUGCUGAAGUCCUGGAUCGGGCCUUGUGGAUAGAACAAGGCGAGGCAUAUCUGCGAGAGGAGCGCGAGGCAUGUUACAAGGAAAAGGGGAAAGGACGACCAACAGGUGGAUCCAGUGGUCAGUCAAGUUCCCAACGGACUUCGACGAGUUCGCACUCGCGAUCCCGAGCUCCGGGGACAUACCGUAUUCGGUCCUCGGCGAAAUGUGCUAUCUGUGGAGGCCCUCAUUUUCCACAGUAGUGUGAGCAGCGAGAGGGCAAGUGCUUCAAGUGUGGGCUGCCGGGUCAUAUGCGAGACGAGUGUCCGCGUGGUGACGGACGGACCUUGGCACUGGCGACGGCGUAUUCCUCUCUGGGACAGCCUGCAGGUGUGCCCCCUGCGGCAUGGCCGGGAGAGCAGCCGUUGAGGACGAUGCAACCAGAGGGUUCGCGACGAGCGCCAGGUGGGCACGGAUAAGCUACCCGAAUCACGGAGCCUGCCGCUGCUGACGUCAUCAUGGCAGGUAUGAGUUAAUUGAGAAAGCAUGUGCUUUUACUAAUCUCAAGUUGGUGCAUAGCAUGCAUUUAUUGUUGGUCGGUUGCUACUAAUUAUAUUUAUUGCAUAGUAGGGACCGAAUAGUCAGGUAAGUAGACGCCCGUACAUGCUUGCAUUGUGAGAGGUGGCGCCUGCUGAUGCAGGUAGGAAGCCAAGUGGUGCUAGCUAAUGGCUAGUGAUGAUUCUCCGGUAAGGAAUGAGAUCCGUGGAGAACAUGGUCUAGUAAGUGACUCUCGAAAUAAUGGAUUGGAAAAAAAAAAAAAAUUGUGGAAGUUGAGCCUUAGUGUUGAGGAUACCCGAAAGAUUCGGGAGUUGAGAAUGUGUUCCGAUAGAUCGGACAGUGAAAGUAGAAUCACCGUGGUGAGAGUAGCCGUGUAGUUGACGGACGCGGGCCCGUUGGCCUAGUAAUACCUCGAAGUUGAGGUGGACAAGCUGUGCUCUUGUAGUGGACGUGCAUAGGCAAGCUGCCCGAUGCUGGAUUUCAUGUUAGACGCGGUAGAGGCGUAGAGCGCUCGAGUAUAAUUACUCGUGAGGUGCGGUUUCAAUUCAGCCAGUUGAGUGAGUUGGCAGUAGCACUUUAGCAGGGCUAAGUGUGAAGCGGGCCAUGGAUCACUCGUGGGGCUGGUGGCUCGCACAAGGUGCUUAAGAGCCGAUAGAGGUACUUGUAGCUCUGGUAGAGCAUGUCGUGUAAGACGACGUUGGCGGGUAGUGCUUGGGGACGACCCAUGCCUGGACCACUUGUGGACUGUGGAGCCUGGACCCAUUUGGCAGGCGCAGUCAGCUGUGAGAGACAGCGGCCCGGUACCUAUUGGUAGGGCGAGAGUUUUGGUCAGGACGGUAGUCCGAGCUUAGACCCGAGUACGUGGAAUGUCACGUGUUAGAGUGCGAGAUUGAUGAUGCACCGAGUGUGUAGUGACCCAACCCAAGGAUUUGAUGUGGAUUGGGGUCUUGAUAGCUCCUGGUUGGAGUGUGUGCGAGUUCUCCAAUGAGAAUGUCGCCCAAUGAUGAUUGGGUCUACGCUUGCGAGCGAGAGACGCUAGGCGUCGUUGAGACGAGUUUAGUUGGUAGGCCUACGUAGGGUGGGUGACUGUUGGUCCACCCGUAGAGACUGAUGGUCGGUGCGACCAAUGACUCCGUGAAUGAGCUUAGGCUCGAGUUGCGAACGAAGGGUUCGUGCAAAUCCACAGCUGGAGUAGAGUGGCGUUGAUCGUGGCUUAUGAUAUUAAAGGAUAAAGAGAAGCCGAAGUGCUCUUAUAAGGCCUUGAGCUAAUGAAAGCCACGUGAGAAUUGGAGUUGAAGUUAGUGGAUAAUCCUCUCAAAAGAGUUGAGGUUGAGACGCGCCGAAGUGUGCCGUCUCGUGAUAGGGCAAGGAUUCGAUUGAGAUUGAAGCACUCGCGAUGGGCCGAUGCACCAAUGAUUUUGUCGCUAUGCAAUGCCGGUGGUCGGAAUCGGAGUGGAAAGGUGCGUUGGUUCCCUCGAUAACUCGAUAGAUCGAGUGGAGAUGUGGUUUGAAUUUCGCGGACGAAAUUCUUUUAAGGUGGGGAGAAUGUAACCCCCAAGAUCUCGGUGAAUAUUGUGGACUUUAGCCAAAUUGACUAAAGUACUCGAAGGGAUUGGUUGGACGCGAUCCAUUAACGUUCCAACACUGUUGGAAGGGUUAAAAAUAAGCUUUAAAUGAGUUGGAAGGAUUUUGGCAUCGAACGACGCGAAAUAGGGCGGAAUCGAAGUCAAAAAUGACUUUUUGGAUGUCUUGUACCGGUACAAGACCAAUGGUUGUGCCGGUACAACCAGCGUAGUACAAUGGCUUGGAGCUGCCAGGCCUUGUACCGGUACAAGAGGCCUUGUACCGGUACAAGCCCUGCGUAACCGAGAGACCAGCCCUCGGGUUGGGCUAUCUGCCAGGCCUUGUACCGGUACAAGAAACCGUGUACCGGUACAAGGAGCCCGAACAGCAGGAAAUUGACCUAUUGCGAAUAUGAUUGGUUGGGGGGUUUAUUUGCAAUUGUUGCAAUAUAACAAAUACCCCAAACAUCUCUCUCUCUCUCCCAGCUGCUCUUUCUCCCUCUCUCAACCGUGCAUAGCAAAGAGAGAGAAAAGAAGAGAAGGAGAAGGAAAAGAGAAGAAGAGAAGGAAAAAAGGGGAAGAAAAAGGAGAAGGAGAAAGAGAAGGAGACCAUGAAGGAGAUCUUCUUCCCCCUAUUCAUCUUCUUCCUCACCUUGGAGCAAGCAUAGAGAGGUAAGCCUCAAACCCUACCAUGGUGGAUUUCUAGGGUUAAGGUUUUAUGGUUUGGAAUUGGUUCAAAUGGAACCUAUUGGAGCUCAAGAGAUGGUUCUAGCUCACAUUGAAGCUUUGAACCAUGGAUUGCACCAUUGAUGCAAACCUAGGGUUAGAGUUUGGGUUUUGAACCCUAGAUCUUAGUUUUGAUCUCCCUACAAGCUUUAGAGCUUCAUAGUAGCCGAAGAACACAUGAAAUCCAUGGUUUCUUCGUAGUGCUCUAAUGGUGGAUUUCUAGGGGUUGUUCCAAAUGCCAUAGAAAUGGUUCAAAUAGUUUGGAAAUGGGAUUAGAGAGCUCUUGGGUGGUUCUAAGCUUAAUUAUGCUUAGCUAUGAGAUCAAUCCCAAGAAAUUUGAUUAUGGCAUUGUUAGGGCACCGAAAUUGGGGCUUUUGCCUCCGGGUGUUUCUAAGGCAAAUUGGCCUUGUAGAAACCUAAUUGGGGACCUAACGAACGCGUUGAAACGCUCGGUUCGGCAAUCCGACGAGCGUACGCGAGGUUAUUGACGAAACGGUCGGUUUUGGUACAGAUAGCCGCAGCACGCGGAAUAAAGGUCUAAAAAUCAUGAGAUCGGAACUGGAGCACCUUGGAGUCAAGGAAUAAACUCCGGAAAAGACGGAUCGCGGUUCGGAGGUCGUUUGCUAAGUCGCGCAAGAGUUCGGGCCAAACCGGGCAACGGUUGCCGCGGGAGGCCGAUUGCAAGUGACUACAAGCAAUCGGAGCGCGUGUUAAGGUGGGUUGGUUUACCGAAGCGACUAGGUCGCCUUUAUGUCUAAUUAUUAGACUUUCAUGUUGAUGCAUGUUGAUGAUCGGCAUAGUUGAUGCUAAGUAGAAAUGCAUAAUAUGAUGUAGAUGCUAAAGUUGAUGCAUAUAAAUGUAAAUGAUGCAUGUAGCUAAAUAAUGCAUGAUGAUAGUGUGAUGUAAUUGCUAAAUAGAAUGCAUUAUGAGCAUGUUGAAUAAAGCUAGAUAAUUAUGUGAAUGCAUGUAAGCAUAAUGCAUAGAAUGAAAUGCAUAUUGAUGAUAUAAGUUAAAAUGAGAUAUAGAAUGCAUGUUGACAUUGUGAGAUAAAUGUGCAUGAAACUAGGUUGAUAACCCUAGAAUGAUUAAAGUGAAUGAUGCUAUGCUAAAGUAUAAGUGAUAAGCAUGAUAUAAGAAUAGUAAAUGCAAGUGCAUGUUAAGAAUGCUAAGUAAGGAACAUAUAUAGGUGGACAUGAAUAAACCUAUAGAUCGAGUGGCAUUAAACCUAGUGUCGAGGACAUAGGUUAAAUAAAUGAGAUGUUGAACCUAAUGUAAAGAACAUAGGUUAAAUAAGAGGGAUGUUGAACCUAAUGUAAAGGACAUAGGUUGUGAAAUGAAAGCUGCUUAACCUAGAGUCAAGUAAACCUAGGUUGGAAAAGAAUGAUGAUCCUAGUGUAAUAAACCUAGGUUAAGAAUGUGAAAGCAAUAAACCUAAAGUAAUAACUUAGGUUGUGUAAAGGACAAUGAACCUAGAGUCGAUUGGACCUAGGAGAUAAAUGCUUAGACCUAGAGAGGUCAGUUCCAUAGGGUUAAGACCAACCCUUGGUUGAUGUGAUAUGGAUUCCGGAAUCCCGCUGCUUGCUGCUACACCCAAAGUGGUGUCGGGUGUGUGCGACGAUUUCGCCGCCCAGGGGCUAGAGAACCAUUGUCGUGGCGUGUGUGCGACGAUUUCGCCGCCGGAUGGUUAGCCAGUUUGUGGAUCCUACCGCCUGUUGACUGAACCACUGUCGUGGCGUGUGUGCGACGAUUUCGCCGCCGGGUGACUAAGUCAUUGAACCUAGGCCGUUGUUGGGUGAGGUGCGAUUCGUUCGCCGCCAGACGGCUAGGACAGGAGUACGGUGAGCUGUUGCCAGCUGAGGUGCAUGUGAGAGUUCCUUCACCUCGAGCUAGACAGUGCGCGGACUAUCCGCGAUUGAUUGACUCAAGACCGAGUCGGGUGGCUUUGUUGACUAAGGUAAAGUGACCUUAGAGUAGAAUGCCAAAGGCUAAGAUAUAGCAUGGUUCAAGAAUGUUAAGAGUAAAGAAUAGCUAAAGAACAAAGAGUGGCUAAAGAAUAAUGAAUAGCUAAAGAAAGGAAUAGCUAAGAGCUAAAAGUAAGCAUCAAAUGGCAAAGAGUAAAGAAUGAUUAAGAACAUAAGUAGUGUUAAAGUAACCUACUUGCAUGAUUCCAGAUAUUGCAUAUUGCAUUUCGUGAGGC
Molecule: long non-coding RNA, 5533 nt
Filed under: Ananas comosus (pineapple)
Lineage: Eukaryota; Viridiplantae; Streptophyta; Magnoliopsida; Poales; Bromeliaceae
Description: long non-coding RNA (ACOM_LNC013471)
Source: RNAcentral